CGACCGGGAAUUAGCCCAGCGCUGAAUCCUGUAUCUUUGAUAUUAGGAAUUGUAGCGUAAAGGUUGUGUUUUUAAUUGAAYAGUAUGCUCCAAAUUCACUUGAUUGUGAUGUUGUCCAGAGAGGGUGUUAGGCCCGUUGGAGUAUAUAAAGCUUUUAUUGAUGCUUCCUAUGAGUCGGAUUGUUUGAGAAUGCAGUCCAAAUUUGGUGGUAAACUCCAUCUAAGGCUAAAUACUUGUGUGAGUCCGAUAGUAAACAAGUACCGUGAGGGAAAGUUGAAAAGAACUUUGAAGAGAGAGUUAAAUAGUACGUGAAAUCGCUUAGAGGUAAACGAGUGAAGCCGAAGAUGUUGUAUGGAAUUCAAUUAACUGAAUGUUUUCUUGAUAUUAGCAAAAUCUCACUAGGAAUUGCUGAUAUUAGGCUCUUAAUAGACGGUUGGUGCACUUUCUAUAUAACAGUACUGCGACCAAUAGCGCUGUUUUUCUGUCGUGACAUUGAAGGUGAUCWUUUCUUCGGAACUGGUUUUAUAGCUUGUUACAUGGUUAAAUGGUUUAUUGGUGAUUGCGAUCGACAAAUUUUGAUUAGUUUAAUGUUGAUGAUUUUAUGAUUGACUAAUAAUAGGCUUUUAUUGUAUUGNUGAUGUUUUACCAARUCGAAGUGUUGAUCUAAAGUCUGCAGUGUAUGUAGGUUACUUACUCGUCCCGUCUUGAAACACGGACCAAGGAGUUUUAUAUGAUCGCGAGUCAAAGGGCUAUACGAAACCCCACGGCGCAAUUAAUGUAAAGGUUUACUUUUGUAAGCUGANAUGUGACCUCGUGGCAACACAGAGUGCAACAUCGACCCGUCUAAAGAUGUUCGCAUCUGGGCGGAGUUUGAGCGAUCAUGUAGAGACCCGAAAGAUGGUGAACUAUGCUUGUGCAGGUUGAAUCCAGAGGAAACUCUGGUGGAGGACCGCCGCGGUUCUGACGUGCAAAUCGAUCGUCGGACAUGAGUAUAGGGGCGAAAGACUAAUCGAACCAUCUAGUAGCUGGUUCCCUCCGAAGUUUCCCUCACGAUAGCUGACAUUUGUUAUUGUAGUUUUACCUGGUAAAGCGAAUGAUUAGAAGUAUUGGGGGUGAAAUGCUCUCAACUUAUUCUCAAACUUUAAAUGGGUUCGAA
RNAcentral lists this ribosomal RNA (1156 nucleotides) under Dugesia afromontana. RNAcentral describes it as "eukaryotic LSU rRNA". It matches the Rfam family "Eukaryotic large subunit ribosomal RNA", at positions 94 to 1079 of the family's 3401-position model. The record is from RNAcentral. Lineage: Eukaryota; Metazoa; Platyhelminthes; Tricladida; Dugesiidae.